CACACACACACACACACACACACCACACAUGACAAGGUGCUUUGUAUUUAGAAAGUAUCCUACUUCCAUAACAAUGAUUGAAUGUGAAGUGAAAUGGCCUGAAAGCAAUUGAGUGUACAAGAAGUGGAAUACAUUUUUCAACUAAUUAAAAAAGGAGAAUUAAAAAUUAAAUACACAGAAGGAUGGCCCAUUGAAUAGAAUUUAAUUAUAUAUGGUAGUUUUUAGCAUUCUAUACACCAUAGGAUAUGAAUAUGUGUGUGUGGCAACUGUUCUAAUGGACUUUUCAGCCUAUAUUUUCUUUGUCCACUUGGUUGUCUCCAAGCAAGAAAAAUUCUAAGCCAUCAAAGUGACAAAUAGUCAAAUAUACAUUUUCUUAAGCAAGUCAACAGGUAAGGCUGCCUACCCUACAACUCAUUAAAUAUUUAUUUCUCCAAGCAAGUCAAAUACUUUUUUUGCUGUUGCAGUUGCAGGGUUUCAUAGUUCAUUAAUGAUAGCAAACUGUGGCGAUAGGACCUUAGGUAAUUGAAUAGGCCACAUGAACUGUGGUAGGUGUGAGGUGAUUUAAGAGAAGUAAAUAUCUCGCUUACCAACCAAAAUUUUAUUUUUCAAGUAAAACUUGUAAAUUCUAAUAAUGUAACAACCAAAAACAGAGAAAUAUAGCAAAACAUGAUGGUCAAUAGAUUAGAAGAAUCAAUCUUCAACCGUGUUUAAGUCAAGAAUUGGUACCAGUUAUUAUUGCAAAUGACAGUAAUGUAUUGACCAACAUGGUGAAGAAUUUACCUAAACACAUUUCCAUUGAGCAAAACAUAAAAUUCUUCUGUUCAUUUCACACAAAUAGUCUACGCCUGCAGCCUCUCCAUAGCUCAAGAAUUAACUAAUAAAAUAAUCUGUUUCUGUUUCCCUAAUUUCUCAGCUUCUCAUGUCUCAAUAAUGAACUCUACCCAAAGCCGCUCGUAAUGCCUCUCACAAUGAAAUGAAGUCUACGCAGCUUGAAAAUACACAACAGCAAAUCUAUAAAUACCAAAACUAUUCAUACAGUAACAAAAAAGCCCGAAUGACACUACGAAUAAAAGAAAAUAAUAUAAAAACUUGCACACUUCAGGAAUGGGAAAGCCAAGGGACCCCUGAAUCAUUUUGGCUAUUUACAGGACCAAAAUCAUAAAAGAGAAAAUGAAAUAUAUUUUCCAAAUAGGAAAUUAUUUUCAACUGAAGGAAGAGAAGGAGAAACUCACAACAAAAUGUCUUCAAGAGCCAUUCCAAUGUCUAAACCUGCAUAUUCCACGUUGAUUUUCUGCAAAAGAAUCACGAAGAGACUGCACCAUGAAAUAUACAACAGGAAUCUUACCCAAUUCUUCAUCCUGCAGUUGAAAAUUUCAUUUAUCAUUCUUGGUGCAGUGUGUGCACAUUGCUAUGCAUGUGCAAAAGAGAGAGAGAGAUGUCAUACCAGUUCGGCAAGACACACUUCAAAACUCACAGAAUUAGCAUCAACGGACAUGAAUAUCUUUCUGUAAGCCAAUCUCAGACUCCUAAUAUCAUUCCCCAAAAAUAUAUGCAGGUCAUUCAAACAACAAACAAAAAUAUGGAGUAUUAAAGAUAUAGAAAGCAUAGAAUAGGAGAAUGAACAAAAAUGGAAAGAGGAAGAAGAAAUAUCAGGUCAAUCAUUAAUCAGAAAUUCACCAAUGUCUUCAAUCUUGUUGCAUCAAAAUAAAAAGAAUUUCAAAAACCAGCUGAUGCAUCCACCAAAAACAACACGAGGCAGACAUUAAAUUUUAUUACAGACUUCCUUUUGUACCAUCAUAAUUUUUCAAAUGAUGAUUUUCACAAUACGCUCAUUUAUCUAUAUCAACAACCUUGAGCAUAUAUUCCAUCCCAUCAAAAGAAGGCUCCUCGCAUAAAUCAUGCACUUACUCCAGCCAAGACCAUGAAAGCCAAACAAGUACUAGAAUAUCAAAUCUGACUCUCAAGUCUCACCCCAGAUGCCAAAUCCCUCUCUGCCAAAGAAACAGUGCAGCAUCUCAAGGCUGUGAUAUGCAAGUUCAUAUUAUUAUAUAAAAACUUGCAAACCUUCAUCAAGAUUCGCUAAAAAUCUCUUUUGCGAUGUUUUCAAGUUAUAUUCAAGAAACCAUGGUGGUACACUUUAGCUGCCUUGCAAAGCCAUCAGAAUGAAAGUAACGACUGACCUCUGUGGCUGUGAAUCCAUGUCGUUGAAGACCCUCCAAAUUCAGACCAUGAAACUCAGCUCUUUCUCCAGCCACCAUUACAUAUUUAGGGACAUCUUGCGAAACCUUCAGCCAUAACAAAUACAUUUUCAUGACAGAAAAAAUUUCUUCUAUUUUAUAUGUUCUAAUAUACUCAUUUCAAAUACAUUCAGCAAAACACGCAAUUAUGCAACAAGGACUUUCAGUCUGGCAUUUUUUUGCCCUAUUGGACACACCAAUAUGUAUAAAUAUCAGUGGUAGACUUGUCCAACACCACAUGUCCGCAUUGCAAAAUGAAAAAUCAAAACCAAAAAAUAGUAAAAGAUCAUACCAAAGCUCCACCACCGAUAAAAGAAAACCAAACAAUAUGGUAAAAUUGAUGAACAACAAUAGCACCAGCAGUGUGAAUAUAGUCUUGCAUUUGCAGCACCUCAAUCAAGUUCUAAUCAAACAAUAGAUAUGAAAUAUUAGUAAAUUAACAUGUUGAAUAAUGUUAUCAAUCCUGAUUGUUAUGAGAUAACUAGAUAAGCUAAGGACUUACUUCCACAAUAACAUGACCAGCUAGAAAAGUAUUAUUAGUAAACAUGUUAUUGUUGCCAAUGUUGCAGUCAUGGGCAAUAUGACAAGACCCCAUGAACGUCAAAAAAUGACUAUGGCAUAUAAAAUACAUUGGCACACUGGCCAUACCGUUCUCUCACUUGACUUUGAAGAUAGGUGAAUUGAAGAAUGCUCACUGAUUUCAUUGUUAUAAACAAUGUCAAGAGAACAUUCAUCCACUGGCCCUGGCUAAAUGCAAGGAUCAAAAAAAACAAAAAGAGGCUAUUUUAAAUAGAAAACAAUUCUUAAAUUUCUAAAUCACUGCAAGAGGGCAGACUCUGCUAUACAUGAGCAAAGUAUAUACAUGAUAAUGCAAAUGCAAAAACUGAUGAUGAUGAUGACAAACAUAUAUAUGAAGAUUGAACAGAAAUACACUCAAAAUGUUUUGGUGUACAUUGUACAUAUGUGCAUGAUUACAACUCUUUCAAACCAGUAACUAACCGAAACAACUUCUUAAAGGUGAACAAAAAUAAGCAACAGAAAUCUGAAACAAGCAACAGAAAAGCAAGGGAAAAGAGUUGGCCAUAUGCAUCCAACGCCAUGCUUCUGUAAGUAUGUUAACCGGAAUUGCAAAUAUUUGCAGAUGUUAUCCAUAAAGUAUAGAAAUUAUAAGUCAGGUCAGCAGAUGAUCAAUGUAAGCAAGAUGAGAUGUUAAUAGAAUUGAAACCACAGGUAACUAGAACAGGGAAUAUCGCCAUUUGCAAAAUUCUUACCAAUUCAAGCAAAGUAAACAUGCCUUAUUCUGAAAUAUCCGGAACAAGCAACACUUUGUCAAUGUUGCAAGACGGCAUUUUGCUUUCUUAGCAACCAAAAUGAUCCAAAGGACCUGAAGAAUAAGUAAGUCAUCUGAAAUUUUUUACUCAAAGGGACCAAAAAAUGACAUAAAAAGCAGCAGAUUCUCAAAUUCCCUAGCCCAAUUGUAUAUUUGUCCCCUUAUAACUAGUUGAAGUACUCUAAAUCAUACAAAACAUGCUUCACAAACAAGACACAUAGACAACCAAAUGCAGUGACAAAAGUUGACAAGAAGACAUAAACUAAAUUAGAUAAUGCGUAUAAUUAGAAGGAAAACAAACCUUGUAUUUCAUAUCUUGGCAUUUAACACCAACCACAGCAUGAUGACCAAUUAUGUUAUUAUGUCCUAAAACCGUGUGUCCUGGAAGUUCAUCACCAACCACAGCGCCAGUCAUCAAAACACAGCGCUCCCCUAACUCUGUAUUUCCAAAAAUAUGGCUUCCAGGAUACAAUUGACAACCAUUUCCAAGCUUGGCAGAUGAUCCAACGGUGCAGAAGGGACCAAUCGAAACACCCUGGCCAAUGAAGGCAUUUGGGUGAACGACUGCUGAGGAGUGAAUGAAGGUAGGAUUCUCCAGUGGUGAAGCUUCUGGUGUCCUCUCGUUCGAGGCAUAUGUAAGUGCAGUUGAGAAUCGUUGCAGAGGGAAGGAGCCAAUAGCCCUGCGGAUUUUGAGGAGAGAAUUCAUGGCCAUGGCGGAAGUUACUAAGACAGAAUCAUUACAAAGAGUGUCCUUCCA
Molecule: unclassified non-coding RNA, 4324 nt
Filed under: Hevea brasiliensis (rubber tree)
Lineage: Eukaryota; Viridiplantae; Streptophyta; Magnoliopsida; Malpighiales; Euphorbiaceae
Source: RNAcentral